UUGGGGAAUUUUGGACAAUGGGCGAAAGCCUGAUCCAGCCAUGCCGCGUGAGUGAAGAAGGCCUCGGGUUGUAAAGCUCUUUUAGUCGGAAAGAAAGAGUUGCAAUGAAUAAUUGUGAUUUAUGACGGUACCGACGAAAAAGCACCGGCUAACUACGUGCCAGCAGCCGCGGUAAUACGUAGGGUGCGAGCGUUAAUCGGAAUUACUGGCGUAAAGGGUGCGCAGGCGGUCUCGCAAGUCAGAUGUGAAAGCCCCGGGCUUAACCUGGGAAUUGCGUUUAAACUACAAGGCUAGAGUGCAGCAGAGGGGAGUGGAAUUCCAUGUGUAGCAGUGAAAUGCGUAGAGAUGUGGAGAACACCGAUGGCGAAGGCAGCUCCCUGGGUUGACACUGACGCUCAUGCACGAAAGCGUGGGGAGCAAACAGAUUAGAUACCCUGGUAGUCCACGCCCUAAACGAUGUCAACUAGUUGUCGGAUCUAAUUAAGGAUUUGGUAAGUAGCUAACGCGUGAAGUUGACCGCCUGGGGAGUACGGUCGCAAGAUUAAAACUCAAAUGAAUUGACGG
This 564-nucleotide ribosomal RNA is filed under the name uncultured bacterium. RNAcentral's name for it is "bacterial SSU rRNA". It matches the Rfam family "Bacterial small subunit ribosomal RNA", at positions 354 to 916 of the family's 1533-position model. The record is from RNAcentral.